Notothenia coriiceps (black rockcod) is the source of this 468-nucleotide long non-coding RNA. RefSeq lists it as uncharacterized. NCBI's taxonomy places the organism in Eukaryota, Metazoa, Chordata, Actinopteri, Perciformes, Nototheniidae. The record is from RefSeq and is a predicted model, not a curated record. The transcript has 3 exons.
UACGACAGGCUGCCACUGUUUGUUCAGGCUGUGAGGGGCUUCACAUGCUGUCAUUCUGUCUGUCUAGUCUGUCUGUCAGUCGGUCUGUCUGCGGGCUGAGCAGCUGUCGAUGAAGGUGAAGGUGAGCGUGGACGGGUGAUCAACUUCCUGAGGAUCUAUAAACUUCAAACUGUGGUGUGCUGUCUGAGGAGCUCCAGCAGCAGAGAUGAUCCUCAGACUGGGGCGGCUCACUCCGGGAUACUUCAGACUCCUGGAGAGGCAGGUCUCCGGUGAGGUCCGGAUGCAGCCACAGAGCAGCUUCAUCAAUCCCAUCGCCAUGACGAUGGCCACAUUGGGGAUGGGAGUGUCUCUGUACAGCACCAGGCAGAUGGCAGAGGGGAAUCUGAAGCAUCAGUGAGAGCAGUGUGUGGGACAGGGUGUGGGACAGGGUGUGGGACAGGGUGUGUGUGUGUGUGUGUGUGUGUGUGU